GAUAGAGUACAGCAGUUGUUUGAAGUAGGUAAGAGUAGGUCUGAAGUAAGUGAGAGUAGGUAAAAGGUUUGUACUAUAAGAUGUAAACUGAAAUUUUUCGCUGAUCUAUUCGCCGAUGCCUUCAGUUUGCAAUCUUCCUUCUAUUUAUAGAGGCUCGGGACUUUCUCAUUUGAAUUUCAUUUCUUCUUCCUUUGAGUUUCAUCUUCUUUUUAUUUGUGGCCGACAUCUUUUUCAAAAGUGAUCGGCUCCUUUCUCAAAAGUCGUUUGGAUCUUGUCCGCAUGGUCCUCCGAAUGGAUCAAAAGUAGAUUCGGAUGAUUAUGCUGACUCG
RNAcentral lists this long non-coding RNA (329 nucleotides) under Coffea arabica (coffee). Its description in RNAcentral is "long non-coding RNA (CARA_LNC007830)". Lineage: Eukaryota; Viridiplantae; Streptophyta; Magnoliopsida; Gentianales; Rubiaceae. The record is from RNAcentral.